UUCAACUGAAGAGUUUGAUCAUGGCUCAGAUUGAACGCUGGCGGCAGGCCUAACACAUGCAAGUCGAGCGGAAACGAUCCUAGCUUGCUAGGAGGCGUCGAGCGGCGGACGGGUGAGUAAUGCAUAGGAAUCUACC
This is a ribosomal RNA of 136 nucleotides. It matches the Rfam family "Bacterial small subunit ribosomal RNA", at positions 1 to 130 of the family's 1533-position model.